This is a long non-coding RNA of Daucus carota subsp. sativus, 543 nucleotides long. RefSeq lists it as uncharacterized. NCBI's taxonomy places the organism in Eukaryota, Viridiplantae, Streptophyta, Magnoliopsida, Apiales, Apiaceae. The transcript has 2 exons. The record is from RefSeq and is a predicted model, not a curated record.
GUAUGGUGUUGCAUAUGCCUCAGGCGCAUACGAAGACGGAAAUCUGCUUCGUCAACUCCAUUGCCUUCACCUUUGUCAUUCUACUUGCCUUCUUCAAAAAAAUCAAGAUUCCCAGAAUGAGGAGAUUGAAGAGGCUCCCAUUGGAAAAAUGACAGAAUGCAACACUGAUACGCCCACUGAGCAUGUUCUUCCCCUCGAAGAUGCUCAACACUCCUUCGAUGCAAAUCAGUUUGCAAAACAUGGUUAGCAAUCAUAUCAGACCCUGAUUUUGUCAAAGCUCACUGCAUCGAAUCCCAGAAAAGACAACCUAGUUGCGAGAGAUAUAUCACCAAAUCAUGAUUGAUGAUCAUGAAAGAAAAACCCUCCUCCAAGUUGAUACUUGAAUUGUCAAGUGACAAUGACGGUUCUCCAAGUUGUCAUGGGACUGAAAUCAUGUGUCGUGCUUGUAGUUUAGAGUGCGAGUAAGGGGUGACUCCAAUCUUGUAAUACAUUCUUAUUUAGUGGUUUGUGAUUUUACCCUCCCUCGAGAGGUUUCCACUUUUA